CCUACGGGAGGCAGCAGUGGGGAAUAUUGGGCAAUGGGCGCAAGCCUGACCCAGCAACGCCGCGUGAAGGAAGAAGGCUUUCGGGUUGUAAACUUCUUUUGUCAGGGACGAAGCAAGUGACGGUACCUGACGAAUAAGCCACGGCUAACUACGUGCCAGCAGCCGCGGUAAUACGUAGGUGGCAAGCGUUAUCCGGAUUUACUGGGUGUAAAGGGCGUGUAGGCGGGGAAGCAAGUCAGAUGUGAAAACCACGGGCUCAACCUGUGGCCUGCAUUUGAAACUGUUUUUCUUGAGUGCUGGGGAGGCAAUCGGAAUUCCGGGUGUAGCGGUGAAAUGCGUAGAUAUACGGAGGAACACCAGUGGCGAAGGCGGAUUGCUGGACAGUAACUGACGCUGAGGCGCGAAAGCGUGGGGAGCAAACAGGAUUAGAUACCCGUGUAGUC
This 443-nucleotide ribosomal RNA is filed under the name uncultured bacterium. Its description in RNAcentral is "partial 16S ribosomal RNA". It matches the Rfam family "Bacterial small subunit ribosomal RNA", at positions 338 to 795 of the family's 1533-position model. The record is from RNAcentral.